This 516-nucleotide ribosomal RNA is filed under the name uncultured bacterium. RNAcentral's name for it is "partial 16S ribosomal RNA". The record is from RNAcentral.
GGAGUUAGCCGGUGCUUCUUCUGUGAGUGAUGUCCUUCCUGCCGGCUAUUAACCCGCAGGCCUUCUUCCUCACUGAAAGUGCUUUACAACCCGAAGGCCUUCUUCACACACGCGGCAUGGCUGGAUCAGGGUUGCCCCCAUUGUCCAAUAUUCCCCACUGCUGCCUCCCGUAGGAGUCUGGGCCGUGUCUCAGUCCCAGUGUGGCUGAUCAUCCUCUCAGACCAGCUACGGAUCGUCGCCUUGGUGAGCCGUUACCUCACCAACCAGCUAAUCCGACAUAGGCUCAUCCGAUAGCGCGAGGCCCGAAGGUCCCCCGCUUUCCCCCGUAGGGCGUAUGCGGUAUUAGCCUGGGGUUUCCCCCAGGUUAUCCCCCACUACCGGGCAGAUUCCUAUGCAUUACUCACCCGUCCGCCGCUCGCCACCAGGGAGCAAGCUCCCCGUGCUGCCGCUCGACUUGCAUGUGUUAGGUCCGUCGCCGCCACGCGUUCAAUCUGAGCCACUAAUACAACUACUCGA